Molecule: long non-coding RNA, 386 nt
Filed under: Equus caballus (horse)
Lineage: Eukaryota; Metazoa; Chordata; Mammalia; Perissodactyla; Equidae
Description: lncRNA (ENSECAG00000050834.1)
Source: RNAcentral
UGGACACUGGUAACACUAAUUGCCUCUGAAAACAGGGUCUAUAGGUUGGAUGUGGCUCUGCUAGGCUUAACUGGAAUCAGUUGGGCUUGACUUCAGGCUGCUGGUUGGGUUCAAGCCUGUUCCAUAUAUUUCCUCAUUCUUCUUGGACCAGUGGCUACCUGGAACAUGUUCUUCCCCCGGAGGGUCACUGGAGUCCAAGAGAGCAUGUGCAUUUCUCAUACUGCUAAGUGAUCUCUCUGAUCUGAUUGUAUUCAAUUCGUUUUCCUGCCUUCCUGCCUUCCUUCGCUCCAAGAAUAUGGGCUCCCUGAGGUCAGGACCCACAAUCUUGCUCCAUUAACCUUUGUGUUCCCACAAUCUAACACAAUGCCUGCUAUGUAAUAGCAAGA